AGCGAACGCUGGCGGCGUGCUUUAACACAUGCAAGUCGAGUGCGCGCCUGUAGCAAUACAGGUGGCGCACGGCGCACGGGUGCGUAAACACGUGGGCAAUCUGCCCUUCGAUGGGGAAUAACCCCGGGAAACCGGGGCUAAUUCCGCAUAAUAUUCCGAUGACUAACGUCAAUGGAUUCAAAGCCGUAAGGCGUCGAAGGAGGAGCCCGCGCACGAUUAGCUAGUUGGUGAGGUAACGGCUCACCAAGGCUAUGAUCGUUAGCUGGUCUGAGAGGAUGGCCAGCCACACUGGAACUGAGACACGGUCCAGACUCCUACGGGAGGCAGCAGUGGGGAAUCUUGCACAAUGGGCGAAAAGCCUGAUGCAGCGACGCCGCGUGGGGGAUGGAAGCUUUUCGGAGUGUAAACCCCUUUCGACCCGGACGAAUGCCCCGCAAGGGGACUGACGGUACGGGUAUAAGAAGCCCCGGCUAAACUAACGUGCCAGCCGCCGCGGUAAC
Molecule: ribosomal RNA, 500 nt
Filed under: uncultured bacterium
Lineage: Bacteria
Description: bacterial SSU rRNA
Rfam family: Bacterial small subunit ribosomal RNA
Source: RNAcentral